Helianthus annuus (common sunflower) is the source of this 1954-nucleotide long non-coding RNA. RefSeq lists it as uncharacterized. NCBI's taxonomy places the organism in Eukaryota, Viridiplantae, Streptophyta, Magnoliopsida, Asterales, Asteraceae. The record is from RefSeq and is a predicted model, not a curated record. The transcript has 2 exons.
UUGUGAGCCACCACCCCGGGGGAGCUCACCCGGGGUGGAUUAUCUUGUAUGUUCUUAUCAAAUCAAUGAAAUAUCUUUUGUUCAUCUAUCUUCUUGUUUGUUGAUGGUUCACAAUUCACCCGUCUCGUAUUAUUUCACCGAACCGAUACUGAAAUCGGAUCGUUACGGACCUAUCAUUUCGUAUCAGAGCCUCGGUGGCUCGUUUCAGUUUUCGGUUCGGUCGGAACUUUACCGCAAAACCCGUCGGAGACGUAAAACGGAUUGAAAUCUGCGUGUUGAUGUUGUUUCCAGAUCUGGCGAUUCUAUUUCUUCAUACAACGUAUUUUUUUCAUCAGAUUAAGAGUGAGAAGGUGGUCACCCAGUAGAGAAAUAGAUAAUGCAUAUAGAAAAGAAUGAUAGAAAUGCAUUGGGUUUCAUUUGGUUGUCUCCGGUGGUGAUUGCUUUCGUAUCACGUUGUGGUAUAUCUUGCUGACUUCUAAUUCUUACACUCGAUUUCUUGUUGACGGUAAAUAUUGGGUUCCAUUUCUUGUCUUCGGAGUAAAAUCUGGCUGGAGAACGGUGGUGUCUCACCGGUAUAUCUCGAUUGUCGGAAUCGAAGGGUGUUGUGUGUGAGAUUCUUAUCACCGACGGGGGUUCUGGAUACCGUUCUAUAACUUCGUGUGAAUCCAGAUGAUCUUAGAUGCCAGAGAUAUACAUCAUUUUUCCAUCAAAUCUGAUGACAACUGGUUGCGUCUGUCUUAUGUUUCCUACCAAAAUUGGUUUGCGGCCGGUCGGUUUCCGAUCAGGGCAAUUCUCCGUCGAACUGAAUGGUGUAUGACAGCGACUGAAGUUGUUUAUCAGCAAUUUGAGGUGGUCGCCGGACUUUGGGUGGUGGUACUCGGUGGAAAUGGCGGUGGCAGAUGGUGCUAAUGUGCACGAUGGAAGUUGACGGCUAGGAUAUCUUGCGGCUAGGGUUUGAUAGGAAUACAUUUGCAUGGGCUGGGGUAAUGAUGCCCCAAUGAUUGCUUUUUCUGGACCACGCGUGAUUUCCAUUUCUCAAGUUGAUCAGGCAAGAUGAAAUUUUUUAUUGGGCCACGUAUGAAUUUCUUGGCUUGUACAAAAUUUCCAGGCAAAUUGCAAAGGUUUUGUAUUGGGCCUUCAUAUAUAUUCAGGUAUGAUUUAAUUUGGAUAGAUUGAAGUCAAGGAUUGGGCUUGCUGAAUAUUUAUAGAUCGAUGGUAUUAUGUGGUCAGAUGGAUCAUGAGUUUCUACAAAAUAAUUUUCUGGCCUGGAUUUAUUAUACAUAUUUUGGGCCACGAAUAAGACUGGCCAGGGAUUUCAUGAUAUAUUUUUGGGCCGUCGAUAUUUAUGGUAUUUGGUGACAUUUGCAGUGGAUCGGGAGUUAAAUGCAAUUUAACAGAAUUGAAGAUCCUCACAAUGAAGCUAAUUAUUCAACUUUUAUCAUUGAAGUUCGAACCCUAUCAUAUGACUAUUACAAUUGUAUCUUCAAAAGUAAGAUAAGGAGCUUUGAUCGACAAGAUAUAGGAGGGUCUACAUUUGCGGGGGAAAAUGAGAAUGAGAAUUUGGGUAUUUAGCCGAUUUGUGAAGAUUCGAAGACGACGUCAGAUUUAUUUUUGAAGAUCAUUUGAAGAAUUGAUAGCAUCAUUCUCGGGGGAAUAUUGUUGGGUCAAAAUGGAGAAUGAUGUUAUCAAUUACACCGACGUUAUUUAGCGUAUUUAUGAAUUUGUAUAGGUUGCCGUUUUUAUUUGGGUUUUAGUUGGGCAUUUUAAUGAGUGUAGUAGGUUUUCCAAGCAAGAGGCGGCUUGCUUGGAGGACAAGGCUCAGGGGCUAUAAAUAGUAGAGUAAACCUCACUUGUGAGGUGUGCAUUUGAGUCACCACCCCGGGGGAGCUCACCCGGGGUGGAUCAUUAUCUUGUAAUCUUUUGUCACUAUCAAUUAAAAAUAUCUUUCUUUCAA